GGUGCGGCACAUCUGCGAUGUGUCCUGGUGGUACUCCAUGUUGACCGAAGUGCUGUGCUGCGGAACCUUUACACCACGCUCCUCAUGGCCUUGGUGCAACCGGGCAGCAUCACCACCACCACGCUUGGUCACGGAGUGUUUGAGGGGGCCUCCUCCUCCCAGGGAGCUACCUUGUGAGCGGCUCCUGCAUUUUUCCUGGCGGAGGCUAACAACAUCCAGGAUUACCGGAGCCAAAUUCUCUCCACGUUUGGCACGGUCCUGAAAACGGACUUGACAAAAAAGGUGGUGAAGAAAUUGUCUGGGGAGGGCAAGGGCUCAGACAAAUGGUUCACCAGCAUCGGUAACGAGUUCUCCCAGCUCACCUGAGAGUGUGUGGAGAAGCUGGGGCCCAUGUGCCCUGGCGUCGUGGAGCGGUUCUGGCUUGCCAAUCAACCCGUACCCCGAGAUCCUCUACAUCGACCGGGAAUGCUGCAAGGCACAGGGUCCGACGGCCGUGGAGACUCUCUUCCAGCCUUGGGUGGACGACAGGAUGGUGGUGAGGCUGGACGACAGGAUGGUGGUGAGGCUGGAUAGGUGGAACUCGCACCGCAGCUUGGACGCCGUGUUUGGGGGCGGAGGCCGGCACCACCGAGUCUACUCGGCGCCGCUCAUUGACCGGACAAUCGAGAUGCACAAGGAUGCCACAGGAUAGGCAACAUUGCCUUCUUAAGACGACAAAGGAGGCCAAGGCAUAUAAACCGUCCCAAACCACAGAUGACAGCGAGCUGAGGAACGAGAAUAAGGCUUAUAACAACAGUAAUACCUUAGUCUUAGAUGUUUUUUACACCUUAUAUUUCCACCACAGUCAUGAUGACCUACUGUUGUGCACUAGAGCUUCUGUGCUUGCAUGUUAUCAAAGGCCUAACAGUUUCUGUUUCCUUGUCCGUGUCCUUGAUCGCCACGUCAGAGAGCCGCCAACCAGAGAGAUGAGCCAUCAAUGACGAGUGGGUAAAGGAUUACCUCCUAAAAUAUGUGCAGCUGUUCCCUCCAGUCUCCUGCCAUCUUGAAAUGUACGUAGACAAGGCCAUUUACAGACAAGGCCGCUUCAGGUCUUUCACAUUUCAAGAGAUGUGGCAGUGGUUAAAGUCUGCACAAGCGCCUUCAAGCUGACCCUCAAGCUGGGAGUGACCGUGAGCGAAAGAUGCACAUUUUUCACAGAAAAUGUCCAAAAACGGAAGUCAGACAGGCUAGCUGAGUCCGCACAACUGGGCAAGUUAUAGCCUGUUUGGUCAAAACGUUAAUAUGAGAAGUAUUCAUUUCCCAUGUUGACUAGUGUAAAGUUCAGCAUAAUGAUUUUAAUGUGAAGAUGAUUUUGCUAUUGACCAUUGUCUGUUGCCAAUGUCAUAUCAGAUAUGGAUCCACUGCUGCCAGUACUAGAGAUCCUGGACACUAGUGUGCCAGCAGAGGGGCCACAAUGCCUACUACGGGCCUCAAGAAAGAGGCCAGGGCUGUGCAGGGAAAAAGCCAGUGUGGGCAAGCUGUUGCGGGAGCCGAAGAUGGCCUACAGGGAAGACGACGCUCUUCCAGCCUUGGGUGGACAAUGGGAUUGUGGUGAAGCUGGACAUCUUCUACUGGCUCCAUCGAUUCGAUGUGGCUCUGCGGACCGAGGCUCACUCUAAGUACGCUGCCUUCAAGUCGGCGCUGACCAGGGCGGUGCUAGCCUACAACUACAGGACCUGGAAUUGCUCAUCCAGGCCGUCAAGAGCCAGAGACCCGUCCGUCAUGGAGGCUGUGUUGGACGAGGAUGUGUUCUGAUGCUACAUCUCGCGAGAACAGCUGAAGCACCAUGUCCGACGGGUCACCCUCGGAGUCGUUUCGUCUCAUUCACCUGGUCGAGGAGCUGACGGGUCCGGCAGGGCUCGAUGAGAGUGGCGUCAGCCUCUUCAAGUCCGACAAAACACACAUACCCACGCACACACAUGCUCAAAGGCAAUUAUGUGCAUUGAUGGCUGCUUACAGCUGCCAUCAAUGAGAUGUGGGCCAGCCAGCAGCAACACCUGGAAUGCAUUCAGGACCCACCAGGCAUUAAUAUGUAUCAGGUGGCUCGCACCACCACCAUCAAUGGUGUCUGCGUGGGAGCAACAGCUUGGAGGGGUUCCACCGCUCGUGUGGGAGAAAUUUUGGAUUACUAAACAAAUCUUAUUACAUAGACAGGGUUCCUACGCAUUUUCCAUUUCAAAAUUCCAUACUUUUUCCAUACUCAAAUGUUAAAACUUCUCGGUAGAUUUUUCUGACCGUAUUCUAGAUAUUGUCAAUGGAGUGUUCUACUAGCA
Alosa sapidissima (American shad) is the source of this 2312-nucleotide long non-coding RNA. RefSeq lists it as uncharacterized. NCBI's taxonomy places the organism in Eukaryota, Metazoa, Chordata, Actinopteri, Clupeiformes, Clupeidae. The transcript has 3 exons. The record is from RefSeq and is a predicted model, not a curated record.